GACUAGACCGGCCCAGUCCUACGAGCACGAUAGGAAUCUCCCAUUGACGAUAGUCGACGGAGCACCCGCUGAGUAUGAAGUUUCGAUCGUAACUCCUUGUUAGGAGAACAAGUACCGGUCGAUCGGCGUACCUUGACCGUACCUACCCAGAAAGCCACGGCCUACUACGUGCAGCAGCGCGUAAUACGUAGGUGGCAGCCGUUGUCCGGAAUUAUUGGCCGUAAGCGGCGCGCAGGCGGUUUCUUAAGUCUGAUGUGAAAGCCCCCGGCUCAACCCGGGGAGGGUCAUUGGAACUGGGAACUUGAGGUGCAGAAGAGGAGAGUGGAAAUUCACGUGUAGCGGUGAAAUGCGUAGAGAUGUGGAGGAACACCAGUGGCGAAGGCGACUCUCUGGUCUGUAACUGACGCUGAGGCGCGAAAGCGUGGGGAGCGAACAGGAUUAGAUACCCUGGUAGUCCACGCCGUAAACGAUGAGUGCUAAGUGUUAGAGGGUUUCCGCCCUUUAGUGCUGCAGCAAACGCAUUAAGCACUCCGCCUGGGGAGUACGGUCGCAAGACUGAAACUCAAAGGAAUUGACGGGGGCCCGCACAAGCGGUGGAGCAUGUGGUUUAAUUCGAAGCAACGCGAAGAACCUUACCAGGUCUUGACAUCCUCUGACAACCCUAGAGAUAGGGCUUCCCCUUCGGGGGCAGAGUGACAGGUGGUGCAUGGUUGUCGUCAGCUCGUGUCGUGAGAUGUUGGGUUAAGUCCCGCAACGAGCGCAACCCUUGAUCUUAGUUGCCAGCAUUCAGUUGGGCACU
This 799-nucleotide ribosomal RNA is filed under the name Bacillus licheniformis. Its description in RNAcentral is "bacterial SSU rRNA". It matches the Rfam family "Bacterial small subunit ribosomal RNA", at positions 317 to 1139 of the family's 1533-position model. Lineage: Bacteria; Bacillati; Bacillota; Bacilli; Caryophanales; Bacillaceae. The record is from RNAcentral.